RNAcentral lists this transfer RNA (65 nucleotides) under Dexiogyia corticina. RNAcentral's name for it is "tRNA-Phe". Lineage: Eukaryota; Metazoa; Arthropoda; Insecta; Coleoptera; Staphylinidae. The record is from RNAcentral.
ACUUAAAUAGCUUAUAUAGAGCGUGAUAUUGAAGAUAUUAAUGAAAUAAAAUUUAUUUUUAAGUA